GACGAACGCUGGCGGCGUGCUUAACACAUGCAAGUCGAGCGGUAAGGCCCUUUCGGGGGUACACGAGCGGCGAACGGGUGAGUAACACGUGGGUGACCUGCCUUUAGCUCUGGGAUAAGCCUGGGAAACUGGGUCUAAUACCGGAUACGACUCCGCGGUGCAUGCUGUGGGGUGGAAAGCCUUGUGCGGCUGGAGAUGGGCCCGCGGCCUAUCAGCUUGUUGGUGGGGUGAUGGCCUACCAAGGCGACGACGGGUAGCCGGCCUGAGAGGGCGACCGGCCACACUGGGACUGAGACACGGCCCAGACUCCUACGGGAGGCAGCAGUGGGGAAUCUUGCGCAAUGGGCGAAAGCCUGACGCAGCGACGCCGC
This 371-nucleotide ribosomal RNA is filed under the name uncultured bacterium. RNAcentral describes it as "bacterial SSU rRNA". It matches the Rfam family "Bacterial small subunit ribosomal RNA", at positions 28 to 400 of the family's 1533-position model. The record is from RNAcentral.